Molecule: non-coding RNA, 787 nt
Organism: Coturnix japonica (Japanese quail)
Lineage: Eukaryota; Metazoa; Chordata; Aves; Galliformes; Phasianidae
Source: RefSeq, a predicted model, not a curated record
AAAAAGAGGCCAGUGAUGAACAAGAACUUCUAGAGGAGCUGGAGGUGAGGAUUAUGAAGGAUUUUGGCCAGGCAUUCUUAAAGUUUCCUUGCUGAGCUCUCACUCCAAAGCCAAGUCUUCUGCUGUUCGGUGUCUGCAGCUUUGUUUCUGGGUCCAGGCAGUGGGAUGGAGAAAGGAUGGGGGUGUUCCAACAGCCAGCAUGGAAGGAAAGCUGCUUGUUGAUCAAAGCAGGAAUUCCUGGGUUAAAAGCUGAUAAAUGCUGGAAGGAGGCACUUUCUGAGCACAUGGAAGGCUGUGGCAGGUACUUGUCCUGGUGAAGCUCUGCACUGGUAAGCAAGAAAUAAGGGUUAUAGCAGUGGAAUCCAGCAGGCUGCAGGGCUGGGGCUGUACUAUCAGAGCUGCAGAGGAGAGGAAAGCAGCUCUCCCAACAAGAGGUGUGGGGGCUGAGUUGACUGUGCCCAUCCUCUCACCAUAACCACCCUCCAAUAGUUGGGAUUGCUCAAGUAAGGGCUGAGCAGCUGUGAGCUCAUUCCCUUAUUCUAUGUGGGGGCAAAAAAUAUGGUCUUUAUUUCAAAGUUUUAUGUUACCUGCACUCAUCUUUAUUAGGAUACACAACGUGGGCAUCUGAGUAAGUACUGCUGAUCACAAGUUCACCAAUUAAGCCAAAGUAGCUUCACAACCUGACUUCAGAGCACUGGGGCUGGUGCAUUUGGAUGCUCAGCCCCAAGGAGAAAGCAGAGCUUUGCCCAUCCUUUAGUGCCCAGGGCUCUGUGCUGUGGUCCUCUUG